AUGAGACGUACAUGCUACUGAUGCUUUUUGUUAUUUUUUUGGUGCAUUUCCACACUAUACAAACACAUUGCUUGACUCCUAAGUGCAUACACUUUUGCCUUUAUAAUGUCAUUCUCAUUUUUAGGUAAAAAUUUAUUCCAUGAGUCAGUGUUUUGCCUGAAUGUCAACAUAAUAUCCAAAAACUUUGAUAGAAAAAGUGAUUUAUUUUAAUAUUUUACACUACUAUGUAUUUUUUAAAAUACACUGAGCAUGUGUAUGUUUAUUGUACUUAAUGAAAUUACACGCAAGGUGUAAUUUGUUUCGUAGGGUCACAUAAUGAACAGCCAUCUUAUAGACAACCGAAAGAGGCAUAGUAUUGUUUUCUUGUGUAUUGUCAUACACCUAAAGAGGAUUUUUUUAAUCGUACAAUUAUGGUGUUAUUCAUUCAUUAAUGUGUCCUUUCUUACCUUAUAUAACUUAUAAUUUUUUACACCUUUUGUUUUUAUUGUCUAUAUAGUAUUGUCUACAAUCUCAAAUUCUGGAUUGACGCCCCAGUACCAGAGGGCACCCCAAUCCCAGAGAGCAUCCAUCUGAAAGCAGGUGAGGUAACACAACGAAAAAAUUACCGGAUGGAGACUACCUGAUUCUUUGCCCAUGGCCUCAGCUUCAAAUGCAAGAAGUCCAGCAACUGUCUGAGCUGGUGGAUAUUCUGUCAGAGACUGCGUGAACAAUGUUAUGAACAGAAUGAUGUCUAAUUGUCUUAUGGCAAAGUUCAAUAUGAGGGGUGGUGGACAUCUGGAAAAGAAGUCUUUUAAAGGCACACCUUUGUAUUAUGUUAUUCAAGAUGCUGUGAAGAGGUGGAGCCCAAAUGCCACCGACUCGGAAAUAGAUGCAGCUAUGGCAGACCACCUCAAGCAUGGUCCAGGAUGAGCUGGGGGUUGUGAAUACAAAAAAUAAGCCAAACAGCUGUAAUGUGUUAAAGAGAGAGUUCACCCAAAAAUGAAAAUUGUUAUAAUUUUCUUACCCACAUGUUUCAAACCUGUAUACAUUUCUAUUUUCUGCUGAACACAAAGAUUGAAAAAUGUUUGUAACCAAGCUAACUGUCAAUAAUUUUUUUUACAAUUGUAGUACUGGGUUGUGAGAUC
This is a non-coding RNA of Paramisgurnus dabryanus, 1124 nucleotides long. The record is from RefSeq and is a predicted model, not a curated record. NCBI's taxonomy places the organism in Eukaryota, Metazoa, Chordata, Actinopteri, Cypriniformes, Cobitidae.